UACCUGAGGCUUCUGCCGCUGUGGAAGUACCUGAGGCUUCUGCCGCUGUGGAAGUACCUGAGGCUUCUGCCGCUGUGGAAGUACCUGAGGCUUCUGCCGCUGUGGAAGUACCUGAGGCUUCUGCCUCUGUGGAAGUUCCUGAGGCUUCUGCCGCUGUGGAAGUACCUGAGGCUUCUGCCGCUGUGGAAGUACCUGAGGCUUCUGCCGCUGUGGAAGUACCUGAGGCUUCUGCCGCUGUGGAAGUACCUGAGGCUUCUGCCGCUGUGGAAGUACCUGAGGCUUCUGCCAAGGAGGGACCAAUAGUAGAAGCACCAGCAGUAGGGGAUUUUCCCAGAAGAGGCGCCCCAGGUCGAAGAGGCAGCGCCAGUUGAGGCAGAGGUACCUGCAGCCGAAGAGGUAGCAGUAGUAGUGGAGGAAGCCCCAGUGGAGGAAGCCCCAGUGGAGGAAGCCCCAGCAGCGGAGGAACCGGCAGCGGAGGAACCGGCAGCGGCAAAGGAGGCUGUGGAGACAGCCCAAGUGUCUGAGGAUGAGGCGCUCGUCGUGGAGGCGGCAAUGCUGGCAGCAGCCUCAGCCCUAGAUGUUGUGGCAGUGGAGGCAGAGGCAGCCCCGGCUGAGGAAGUCAAGGAGCCCCUCUUCACUUCAUGCCACCAAUGUGAAGCCCCAGCUUCUGAGGCUCCCCCAGUUGAGACUGCUGUGGCAGUCACCCCUGUGGAGGUUGUAGAGGCUGCAUCUGUGGUGGAAUUAGAGGCUCCCCCUGCUGGUGUGGAGUCAGUUGGUGAGGCAGUGGAGGUGACCGCGGAGGAGCGUGCCACCGAUUGGCCUGUGGAGGUGACCGCAGUGGAGGAAGCCAAGGUGGAAGGAGAGACUGCCAGGCCAGUAAAGAGGUCCUGCUCAGUGAUGUAAUAGUACAGAAGGUGCACAGAGUAUGAGCCUGAUGUUGCUGACAGCUCAGUCCUGACUGGAGACCAGCGAGAUGUGCCUUCUGGAAUAGUCAACGCCCACAGCUGUCAAUCAAACAGGACGAUCAACAUAAAACACACACAGAAUUAGAACUGGUUUGAAUUUAAUUCUAUAAUUAUAAUAAACUAAUUAUAUUUAAAUGUUAUCUAAUGACAACAGUUGUCAACCUUGUAACUACAUUCCAGGUUCUCACUCAGUUUCUUGGUCUUGUAUUAUCCCUACAUUUACAUUUACGUCAUUUAGCAGACGCUCUUAUCCAGAGCGACUUACAAAUUGGUGCAUUCAUCUUAUGAUAUCCAGUGGAACAACCACUUUACAAUAGUACAUCUAUAUAUAUUUUUUUUGGGGGGGUUAGAAGGAUUACUUUAUCCUAUCCCAGGUGAGGUGACACUUCUGUAAGGGUUUGAAGUCUGACUUUAUUCUUAGGUUCUGACCCAAAUGGCACCUUAUACCCUAUAUAGUGCACUACUUUUGACCAGGGCCCGUAGGGGAAUAGGGUGCCAUUUGGGACGGACUUCAACUGUUUCUCAGUACCACCCUGUUCCACAAGGUGCCACUGUUACCAAGCUGACGAAGACCACUUGAAUGUAUUUGAAGUUACUUGAUAAAUUAUCGUGUACUUGACAUAGCCUAAUGAAUUCGGACUAUUUUUUUGAUUUAAUGAAAUAAGAUCUGAAUCGGUGUAUUAAACAGUAGGCUAUUAGACAAUGUCUAGAUAAUUGUGUUCUUCAAAGACUGUUGGGUUAGUUCUGCAUGAAGUUUUUUUUAUUCUAUCAGGGAAUAUCUAGAUUAAGUUUAGUUCCCAAGCCAGUAGACUGUUGGUAGACAGUAUUGUACCUAUGUGUUGUAAAAAUAAAAUGUAUGUUUCAGUCCAAUAACAAUCUAUGUAAUAGCUUUGCAGGUGGGGUUGGUUGGUGAGGUUGGGUGGUUGUGUGUGUGUAACACAGUAUGGAAAGACUAGUUGUCCAAACUAUCCUGUGGUUAUAUAUUCAUGUUGCUUGUGUAUAUUUUCUAUAGAAAGACUAGUUUGAAGAUCAAAACUAACACUAUCCUGUCACUAUAUAGUCAUGUUGUGUAUAUUUUAGAUGGAAAGACUAGUUUAAAGGUCGAAACUAACAAUAUCCUGUCAUUUAUUUAAGUCAUAAUAUAAUUGUCAUUAUGUAAUUACUAAAAAAGCUACUAUGAUGUCAUACUCAGAAAAGUGUCAUGUUGUAUUUUUAAAUUGAAUGGAGCUGUAUGCUUAUUCAGAAUGGACAAGUGGACUGUACACUUUUGACUUUGAACUUCAUUGACAUGAUUCCAUAUCUAAUUAUGAGAUUCAAUUUGGAGAGGCCUUUUUUUAAUGGAUGAAAUGAUAAAUUCAAUAAUUGUUUCAUGUAUAGUAUCUGUUAUUGUAAAGACUAAUUCUUUGUAAAUAAAUAAAGGUGAUUUUAAACUGUUUGGUUGGCAAUGUAAUUAUUGUGAUGUUUUUGUAUGCUACAGGAUGAAACGAUAACAUUUUGGACAGUAGAUGGAGCUCAAUACUUCCAUUCGAUCUCCUUCAAUCCGUUUGAAUGGGUAACAGUCUCAUUCAGCCAAUGUUUAUUGAAAUGUAUUCAUUAGAGACUGGAUGGCGACAUGACUGGAGACAUGGACAUGACUGGCAGUAGUGCAAAAUGACUAGCAGUAGUGCAAAUGAUAUGAAAAGAAACGCACAGAGAACGUGCAUAUCCUUCAGAAAAGAAUUUGAUACACAUAAAUAAAGUUGUAUUUCAAUGCUAUGAAACAUAACAUCAGUAGUAUAACACUUUUGGAGAAUGCAGCAAAAUCUAAAUUAUACUAUUUAUGGGGAAGGUUCGGGGGCAGUUGCUGCUCUGCGUGACGUCACGGCCGGUGUGUCAUUCGCUGGCAGGCUGUGUUGUCGUUUUCUGGACCCGAACCUCUCCUCCCAGCAAAAACAACGAGUCCAGCCCCCUUGGAAAAAACACCGUUUUAUUUAUUGUUCAGAAUAACAUAGAAACAAACGUGCUUUCACAACGACCAGAAAUAACCAAAUCUAAAUGUUGUAGAUAGCGUUACACUAUGGUUCGCUAACAACAAACGGGUUGCUAGUGAACGUUAGCAACGCCAGCUAGGUCUGUUCGGAGGAGGUUACGGAGUGUCACUGGCAGCAGCUAACCAUUGUGUCUGUUGUUGACUCGGCCUUGCAUCAGAAACCCCCUUUGGACUGGGCAGAAGAGCCAUUUCAAGGUAAGGACAUUCUUGUAGCUAUCCAUAUGCUAAUUCUGCUAAACCAUUUAUCUAGCUAACAAGCUGAUACUCGUGAAUACCAGAACAUAUGCAUGCUAACUAACUAGAAAGGAGGGGGCGUCACAAUGUAGCUAACGUUAGUUAAUAAUGGUAACUAGUUAGCUAGUCGCUGUGGGUUUUAGAUAAAUAAACUCUUUAAUUAGUGUUCAUGUUUGAGAGCGAGAGAGGGCUCCAGAAAGUUACAGUGAAAUGGCUAGUUAACUUACUAUCCCAGUGCUGUACAUCUCGCCCUCAGUGUGGUUUAAUACCCAUGUAUUUACACUGGCAAUGCCCCUGGUAAUGACAACUUAACCCAAUACACUGUUGCCCAGGAGUUAGACUACAGACUGUAGUGUAGUGUCAAGAGCUGCAAAGCCUCAGUGGGUUUUGUGAAGCACUCGUAGCUACAUUUUAUAUUUUAGUCAUUUAGCAGACGCUCUUUUCCAGAGCGACUUACAGUAGUGAGUGGAUACAUUUUCAUAUUUCAUUUUCCUACAUUAUUACUAAGUUAUUCAGACUAGCUAAAACAGCCGUUGGUCUGUCUGACUGCAAUGUUAUCUUGCCCUAGAUAAGACUAUGGCGGAACUUGACAUGUGUCCUGUAAUAACUGCUUCCCUCACAAGGAAUUUGUGACUAGCUGCUAAUGCAAACAAACGGAGAGCUAACUGAGUAGCACUGGCCUAGAGUAACCUUUGAACCAGCGAGCUAGGCCCUGAAGGAUAGUUAUCUCACAAGUGAACAACGGUUUCAGCUUGGCACCAAUGUCCUUGUUAGGCAACCAGUAACUACAGUCCAACAGACACCGUUUACACAGUGAAACUUGCAGUGUACCGACUGUUGAACAAAAGCGUUCGUUUACUUGAAUAUUACAUAUUGGGUGAAUGUUUGGUUGGUUCUCAAGAGGGGGGUGGUGGGGUGGACCACAGGGUUACCAUAGUGAUAUGAGAUGGGGUGGCAGGGGAUGAAUAAAGGCUCACAGUGAGGGUUGGGUUUGCUGGUCAAACUCUGGCACUGCUAGAAGACUGUCCUUGUAGAGUAGAUACACACAGUGGUAUGCUACACCUGAUAGGCUACUUGAUCUUGGGGGUGUGCUGAGCACACAGUCUAGUCAACAUCCAUUCUCUCUGGCACUGACUGGGUAUAAAUAAUAUGACCUCUCUCUGGCACUGACUGGGUAUAAAUAAUACGACCUCUCUCUGGCACUGACUGGGUAUAAAUAAUAUGACCUCUCUGGCACUGACUGGGUAUAAAUAAUACGACCUCUCUCUGGCACUGACUGGGUAUAAAUAAUAUGACCUCUCUGGCACUGACUGGGUAUAAAUAAUACGACCUCUCUCUGGCACUGACUGGGUAUAAAUAAUAUGACCUCUCAGGCACUGACUGGGUAUAAAUAAUAUGACCUCUCUGGCACUGACUGGGUAUAAAUAAUACGACCUCUCUCUGGCACUGACUGGGUAUAAAUAAUAUGACCUCUCUCAGGCACUGACUGGGUAUAAAUAAUACGACCUCUCUGGCACUGACUGGGUAUAAAUAAUAUGACCUCUCUGGCACUGACUGGGUAUAAAUAAUAUGACCUCUCUGGCACUGACUGGGUAUAAAUAAUAUGACCUCUCUCAGGCACUGACUGGGUAUAAAUAAUAUGACCUCUCUGGACUGGGUAUAAAUAAUAUGACCUCUCAGGCACUGACUGGGUAUAAAU
Long non-coding RNA from Salmo trutta (river trout), 4927 nucleotides. The record is from Ensembl. NCBI's taxonomy places the organism in Eukaryota, Metazoa, Chordata, Actinopteri, Salmoniformes, Salmonidae.